RNAcentral lists this long non-coding RNA (322 nucleotides) under Linum usitatissimum (flax). RNAcentral's name for it is "long non-coding RNA (LUSI_LNC001127)". The record is from RNAcentral. Lineage: Eukaryota; Viridiplantae; Streptophyta; Magnoliopsida; Malpighiales; Linaceae.
UCGCGAGUAAGCUAGUACUUCAUAACUUCUUGUUUCUAUUGAAAUCAGAGAUGAUGUCUAUUUGAAUCCGAAAAUUGCUAUCAAUCAUCUUUUCAUUCAUGUGAAUGUGUUCAAAUGAGCAAGUGGCAUUUCAAAUGCAAGCUCGCAUCUAUGAAGUUGCUCAUGCCUGUGUCAUCCUUGAUAUGUUUGGGAAACUGACGGUCCUUGCGAGUUUCAGUGAAGCUGCAUGUGUUGUUUGUGUUGCUGUCUGUGUACUUGCGUUGCCAGGAUCCAUCUAGUUAUUAGGAGCAUAUUAAAUUUCGCGAGUAAGCUAGUACUUCAU